Molecule: ribosomal RNA, 272 nt
Filed under: uncultured bacterium
Lineage: Bacteria
Description: partial 16S ribosomal RNA
Rfam family: Bacterial small subunit ribosomal RNA
Source: RNAcentral
UACGAAGGGGGCUAGCGUUGCUCGGAAUCACUGGGCGUAAAGCGCACGUAGGCGGAUUCCUAAGUCGGUGGUGAAAUCCUGGAGCUCAACUCCAGAACUGCCUCCGAUACUGAGAGUCUCCGAGUCCGGGAGAGGUGAGUGGAACUGCGAGUGUAGAGGUGAAAUUCGUAGAUAUUCGCAAGAACACCAGUGGCGAAGGCGCUUCUGGGCCGUACUGACGCUGAGGUGCGAAAGCAUGGGGAGCAAACAGAUUGAGAACCAGUACCGUCGUA